Molecule: ribosomal RNA, 1019 nt
Filed under: Microbispora rosea subsp. rosea
Lineage: Bacteria; Bacillati; Actinomycetota; Actinomycetes; Streptosporangiales; Streptosporangiaceae
Description: bacterial LSU rRNA
Rfam family: Bacterial large subunit ribosomal RNA
Source: RNAcentral
GAUCCGGGGAUGUCCGAAUGGGGAAACCUAGCACCAGUCAUGUGGUGUUGCCGCCGUCUGAAUGUAUAGGGCGGUUGGUGGUAACGCGGGGAAGUGAAACAUCUCAGUACCCGUAGGAGAAGAAAACAAUUUAGUGAUUCCGUGAGUAGUGGUGAGCGAAAGCGGAGGAGGCUAAACCGUGCGCGUGUGAUAGCCGGCGGGCGUUGCGUGUGCGGGGUUGUGGGACCUUCCGGAGGAGACCGCCGUCUCUUCAGGCAGUGAGAAAUCGGUGGGGUAGUCGAACGCUCUGGGAAGGGCGGCCGUAGACCGUGAUAGCCGGGUAGGCGAAAUCUUGCCGACUGUUGGGAGUGUUCCCGAGUAGCACGGGGCUCGAGAAAUCCUGUGUGAAUCUGCCAGGACCACCUGGUAAGCCUAAAUACUUCCUGAUGACCGAUAGUGAACGAGUACCGUGAGGGAAAGGUGAAAAGCGCCCCGGUGAGGGGUCGUGAAAUAGUACCUGAAACCGUGUGCCUACAAGCCGUAGGAGCGUAAACGGGUUCGCCUGUUUGUGAUGUGACUGCGUGCCUUUUGAAGAAUGAGCCUGCGAGUUAUGGUGUGUGGCGAGGUUAACCCGUGUGGGGGAGCCGUAGCGAAAGCGAGUCUGAAUAGGGCGUUUGAGUCGCAUGCUGUAGACCCGAAGCGGGGUGAUCUACGCAUGGGCAGGUUGAAGCGUGGGUAAGACUGCGUGGAGGACCGAACCCACCAGGGUUGAAAACCUGGGGGAUGACCUGUGUGUAGGGGUGAAAGGCCAAUCAAACUCCGUGAUAGCUGGUUCUCCCCGAAAUGCAUUUAGGUGCAGCGUUACGUGUUGCUUGCCGGAGGUAGGGCUCUGGAUGGCUGAUGGGCCCGACAAGGUUACUGACGUCAGCCAAACUUCGAAUGCCGGUAAGUUGAGCGUGGCAGUGAGACUGCGGGGGAUAAGCUCCGUGGUCGAGAGGGAAACAGCCCAGAUCACCGACUAAGGCCCCUAAGCGUGUGCU